RNAcentral lists this ribosomal RNA (479 nucleotides) under uncultured fungus. RNAcentral describes it as "eukaryotic LSU rRNA". The stretch from base 108 to 261 matches the Rfam family "5.8S ribosomal RNA". Lineage: Eukaryota; Fungi. The record is from RNAcentral.
CCGUCGAGGUUGCCCUUGCGGUCAAUCACUCGCGGGAGUUGUAUUUUCACUUCAAGCUGCCAGCCUUUCCGUCUGAGAGUCAAUGUUGGAAUUAUAGUAAUCGUUAAAACUUUCAACAACGGAUCUCUUGGUUCUCGCAUCGAUGAAGAGCGCAGCGAAAUGCGAUAAGUAGUGUGAAUUGCAGAAUUCCGUGAAUCAUCGAGUUCUUGAACGCAUAUUGCGCCUUCAGGCAUUCCUGAAGGCAUGCCUGUUCGAGCGUCAUCAAACAUCCUGUCAAGGAUCGGUUUGGACAUUGCCACCGGUUCUUGGUUUUGAUUAAAGAGCGGAUGUGAAGCCGUUCUUGAUUGAAUUAUAUUUGCAAAGAUUGGAAUGCACGAUUCGACGUGAUAAAACUUCAUUUCGUCCGAGUUUGUUCUCGCUUUGCUCCAUUCCGGUUCCGAAUUCCGGAGCCAUUGUACUGUUAUGACCUCGGAUCAGGU